CACAAGGUAUACCCAGAGAUUUCAAAUAGGAAUCCACAAGGUGAAUAGUUUUCAGGCCUGUUGCAGCCUUGCUGAGUUCUCUGCAACAGAAGAAUAGCUCUGCCAUGUUUCUGUCACCAAAACACAAGGGAAAAGUAAGAGCUGCCACUUUCUGAAGGAAGGACACCUCGAGUCCGGCAAGGUGGUGCCGCAAGCCUAAAAGGAUGAGAACAGCUGCCCUAGAAGGGGCCUGGUAGUCUCUCUGACACAGCUGAGCUAUUCUGAAAACUUCAGCCAUUCACAGAACACAGCCAGGCUUUCCAAGUCCUGGCAGCAUCUGCGAAAGCUUCUCCAGUGGGUGCUGAAGGUGGAAGGAGGCCACGGUAAAAAGCAAAUCUCAAAGAUAGUCUGAGUUCUGUGCUGAGGACUGGAUGAAAGUAGCAACACAUCUUUUCUAGGAGGAGCCAGAGAUCUGGAGUUGCAUAACAGCAACAUUUUUCCCCUGUGUAGAAGAGGAAAGUUCAAGCUGAAAAGAACUGUGAUUGCAGUAACUUCAACUUCUUCUUUCUGCAACAUUUCUGCUAUAAAAUCUAUAGAUGGCACAAGUUUUACUUCUUUCUUCACCUGUACUAUCUUAUAAAUAAAAUUAAUGAUUCAUCA
Alligator sinensis (Chinese alligator) is the source of this 639-nucleotide long non-coding RNA. RefSeq lists it as uncharacterized. The transcript has 3 exons. NCBI's taxonomy places the organism in Eukaryota, Metazoa, Chordata, Crocodylia, Alligatoridae. The record is from RefSeq and is a predicted model, not a curated record.